Long non-coding RNA from Sinocyclocheilus anshuiensis, 181 nucleotides. RefSeq lists it as uncharacterized. Lineage: Eukaryota; Metazoa; Chordata; Actinopteri; Cypriniformes; Cyprinidae. The record is from RefSeq and is a predicted model, not a curated record. The transcript has 3 exons.
AGAUCGGAGGAGCCUCAGAGAGAAUGCCAAUUCAAGUCAUCAAAGCCUUUGGGAUCCUGAAGAAAGCUGCUGCAGACGUGAAUAAAGAUUACGGUUUGGACCCAAAGAUCGCAGACGCCAUCAUAAAAGCUGCUGAAGAGGUGGCUGCUGGGAAGCUGGAGGAUCAUUUCCCGCUGGUGGU